CUAUAGGAACUUUAUACCCUUCAGUUCAUUUUGAUGACAGAAGUAAUUUGAUAUUGAGAAUGAGAGUAAGGGAAAGUUGAACAAAAUUAGAGAAAUACAAUCAAAAUAAUAUCUUGCAUCUUUCAAAAAUUUGUCAAAGAUACAUUCCAACAAAACUCAUCUCAUAGUUUAUUAUUGGAGAUUACUGAGGAUAUGUGUGACAGCAGGACUGACCCUGUAUGAUACUGAUGUACAAACUAUUAGACUCCCCAACUUGAUUUCUAUUCUAUUCAGUUAGUUAUGACAGUUAUUUUUGUAAUUUUUCUGCUGUGUCAAUUAUGUUGUAAUCCAUUUGUAUAUAAAGUUUCAUCUCAAAGUAAUGAUUUAUGGAUUUUUUUUCAUUUUCUGC
RNAcentral lists this long non-coding RNA (388 nucleotides) under Trifolium pratense (red clover). RNAcentral describes it as "long non-coding RNA (TPRA_LNC004902)". The record is from RNAcentral. Lineage: Eukaryota; Viridiplantae; Streptophyta; Magnoliopsida; Fabales; Fabaceae.